CAGGGUCCCACAAAUUCUGAAGCUGAUCUUAUUUACCUGAAAGACGACCCCUUGAAGACAAGAUAGUUCCAGCAGUAUCUGUCAGUACCAUCAACAAGCACAUGCUGAGGAGUUACAUAUCUCCACUCAAGUGGCCUGAAACACCACUGGGCAGGGAAAGUCCUAGAAGGCCAGUUCUGCUUAAUAGGAGAGAUGAGCUGAGCUGGCUGAUCGUCAGUUGAUAUCGCACCGGACACAAGAAGAGUGACAAGAUGGGCUGUCUGCUUAGAUGCUGGCUUCUAAGCCCUCUCCUGUGGCUGGACCAUUUAACCCUCAAAAGAUUGAGUCACUCAACAAGAUUUUAUUGAGAACCAGCUCCAUAUGGGGCACAGAACCAUGCCUUGGGCAUAUAAGACAAACGAAGGAUCUCAGCAGCAGAAGAUAAGCAUAUGAAAGACCAGCCAUCUGACCCAACCGUGGGACAAGACAAAAUAGUGUGUGUGUGCUUCCUGCUAUCCCGAUUUCUCUGCCACUCACUGCAGUGUCUGUGAACCACCAAUAGUGUGGCCUUCUGCUUUCCUGAUACUGUCCUCUUGCUUUAGUGCCUUAGACAGCACAGAGAAGGACAGGACUCUUGAGUUUUAAUUCUGCAAAUAGCUCUCUAACCUCGUACCCAGUUUGUCUCGUUGCAAAAGUGACCAACAGGAGAGGGAAAGGUUCUGCUUGGUAGGUUUUAUGCUGGGUUCAGAAGGAGACAGACUAUUCUGGAACUGGAGAGAGAGCUGUCUCUCAGAACCAAGAUGGUCCUGCUGUGGGAUAUUACUGAGAAGGUCUCUCCUGUGACAAACACCUCUGCCCAGGCCAGACUCUAUGAGGCUAGAAGAGCUCCUCCCCCUCUGGCUUCAUGGGUACUGUUCCAUUCAGACAGUAUGCUUUCCUUGAAGGUCCCCAACUCACCCCCUGAAUGCUUCCCCUCUUUCCCUGGCUCUGCAAAAGCUGCCUAAGGACCCUAAUGAUACUCAGCUUCCAAGCAGACUUGGGACAGGAAGCUGGUGCUCUUCCUUUCCUACAGAGGCACAGCUGCUCCCAUCCGGUGGGUGCAGAGCCAGACUUGCCACUUACGGACGGAAGUGAGGUGCCACUGACUUCUGCCAGCAGGAGGAUGAGAUGUCUACAUCCCAUCGAAGGACAUGCCCAGAUCCUUCCUGGCCACGUGGUGAGCAAAAAUCUGCCAUUGAAGUCUGCUGCCUUGGCAGUCUGCAGGCUGCAAGUUCAUGAGGACCAGGAGCCAGGAAAUGAAUUAGAAAGCAGCAGGGCCACAGGCGGUCUUGAGGAGUCUGGCCUGGGAAGAACUCAGGGGCAGAAUGAUCCAGCCACAGGACAAGGUAUCACCACACUCACUUGGACAACAGAAGGCCCGGCUCGAGGGCAGAGGGGCCUGCAGGACACCGUGGGAAUUCCAGGGCUCCUCCUUGGCCACAUCCAGAAGGCUUGUUUUUUCUUGGAAGGUGCCCAUCAAGCUGCCACUGCCGUGGGGACACCCAUCCCUGCAUCCCCCUUCGCUUUGCUGAAGGGUGUCAGCUUUGUUGCUGUGGUAACGGGCAGAGCCAAUGAUGUUAGUUCACAGGCCCCUAAGCUGUGGAGGUAAACGGGACCUGUGAGAAAGUCCUUCCUUAUAACAACGGAAACCUCUCCUCCUGGCACUUCUUACUGUUAGCUGGGAUUCUGCAGCUCCAGAAAUCAGGCUUCUCUUUGUGUGACAGUCUUCCAAGUCUUCGAAGGCAUUCAAGAGUCACAAUAUCCAUAUUAUCUGGGCAAAUCGCCUUUGUUUCUGCAGUGACUGUUUCUAAACUCCUCUUUACCCUCCUGUUCUCACUAGCUGUUUCUAACAGCCAGGCACAGAGGCUUGGGAAUUAAACUGCCUGGGCUCCUGCUGGGUGAUCACGGGCAAGUUACUCACCCUCUCUGGGCCUUUUGAACCACUUAAAAAUUUUAUUUAUUUAUUUAUGAGAG
Canis lupus familiaris (dog) is the source of this 1992-nucleotide long non-coding RNA. RefSeq lists it as uncharacterized. NCBI's taxonomy places the organism in Eukaryota, Metazoa, Chordata, Mammalia, Carnivora, Canidae. The record is from RefSeq and is a predicted model, not a curated record. The transcript has 4 exons.